GCGGGUAUAACUCAGGAGUAGAAUGUCGGGGAUUAUUAACCCGAACGUCGGUGGUGCAAUUCCACCUGCCCGCA
This is a transfer RNA of 74 nucleotides. It matches the Rfam family "tRNA". From Rfam's summary of the family: Transfer RNA (tRNA) molecules are approximately 80 nucleotides in length. Their secondary structure includes four short double-helical elements and three loops (D, anti-codon, and T loops).